AGCGAACGCUGGCGGCAGGCCUAACACAUGCAAGUCGAACGAACUCUUCGGAGUUAGUGGCGGACGGGUGAGUAACACGUGGGAACGUGCCUUUUGGUUCGGAAUAACUCAGGGAAACUUGUGCUAAUACCGAAUGUGCCCUUCGGGGGAAAGAUUUAUCGCCAUUAGAGCGGCCCGCGUCUGAUUAGCUAGUUGGUGAGGUAACGGCGCACCAAGGCGACGAUCAGGAGCUGGUCUGAGAGGAGGACCAGCCACACUGGGACUGAGACACGGCCCAGACUCCUACGGGAGGCAGCAGUGGGGAAUCUUGCGCAAGGGGCGAAAGCCUGACGCAGCCAGGCCGCGUGAAUGAUGAAGGUCUUAGGAUUGUAAAAUUCUUUCACCGGGGACGAUAAUGACGGUACCCGGAGAAGAAGCCCCGGCUAACUUCGUG
Molecule: ribosomal RNA, 433 nt
Filed under: uncultured bacterium
Lineage: Bacteria
Description: partial 16S ribosomal RNA
Rfam family: Bacterial small subunit ribosomal RNA
Source: RNAcentral